RNAcentral lists this ribosomal RNA (277 nucleotides) under uncultured prokaryote. Its description in RNAcentral is "partial 16S ribosomal RNA". It matches the Rfam family "Bacterial small subunit ribosomal RNA", at positions 524 to 798 of the family's 1533-position model. The record is from RNAcentral.
CACGUAGGAGGCAAACGUUAUCCGGAUUUACUGGGGCGUAAAGCGCGUGCAGGCGGCUCAUUACGCAUGGCGUGAAAGCCCCCGGCUCAACCGGGGAGGGUCGUCGUGAACGGGUGAGCUUGAGGGUAUCAGGGGCUGGUGGAAUUCCCGGUGUAGUGGUGAAAUGCGUAGAGAUCGGGAGGAACAUCUGUGGCGAAGGCGGCCAUCUGGACCAGCACUGACACUGAGGCACGAAAGCGUGGGGAGCAAACAGGAUUAGAUACCCCCCGUAGUCCCU